RNAcentral lists this long non-coding RNA (557 nucleotides) under Carica papaya (papaya). RNAcentral describes it as "long non-coding RNA (CPAP_LNC008025)". Lineage: Eukaryota; Viridiplantae; Streptophyta; Magnoliopsida; Brassicales; Caricaceae. The record is from RNAcentral.
UGACCAAAUUUCUCUACAUGAUUUAUCACCAGUUUCCCAAGAAAGCGGUAGAUUGUCGUGUGCUUCAUGUUCGUAUUCAUCGCAAAGCAUGGUAAUUACCUGAUAAAUUACGUUGGGAAUGAAUUGGUUAAUAUUAAAAAAAUAAUUAUUAAUAUCAAACAGGAAGAUAUUGAAGGUGAGAUGAGGAGACUGAAAAUGGAGCUAAAGCAGACGAUGGAUUUGUAUAAUACAGCAUGCAAAGAAGCACUUACUGCAAACCACAAGGCAAUGUCUAUGGUGGAGCAAGAGAGACUUAAGUACAAGGCGGCAAUGGAAGCAGCAGAGGCAGCAAAAAGAUUAGCAGAGCUGGAAGCACAGAAAAGAACGAGUGCAGAAAAGAAAGCCCUUAAAGAAUGUGAAGAAAUGAAAAAGGUUCUGGAUACUUUAUCCAAUAAUAGCAUGAGGUACAGGAGAUAUACAAUUGAGGAGAUUGAAGCAGCCACCGAAGGCUUCUCUGAAUCUCGGAAGAUUGGAGAAGGCGGGUACGGUCUUGUCUAUAAAUGUUAUCUUGAUCAUAC